RNAcentral lists this ribosomal RNA (301 nucleotides) under uncultured bacterium. RNAcentral's name for it is "partial 16S ribosomal RNA". It matches the Rfam family "Bacterial small subunit ribosomal RNA", at positions 509 to 807 of the family's 1533-position model. The record is from RNAcentral.
CAGUAGCCGCGGUAAUACGGAGGGUGCAAGCGUUAUCCGGAUUUAUUGGGUUUAAAGGGUCCGUAGGCGGACUUAUAAGUCAGUGGUGAAAGCCUGUCGCUUAACGAUAGAACUGCCAUUGAUACUGUAAGUCUUGAGUAUAUUUGAGGUAGCUGGAAUAAGUAGUGUAGCGGUGAAAUGCAUAGAUAUUACUUAGAACACCAAUUGCGAAGGCAGGUUACCAAGAUAUAACUGACGCUGAGGGACGAAAGCGUGGGUAGCAAACAGGAUUAGAUACCCCUGUAGUCCCUGUCUCUUAUAC